Long non-coding RNA from Macrobrachium nipponense, 201 nucleotides. RefSeq lists it as uncharacterized. The transcript has 3 exons. NCBI's taxonomy places the organism in Eukaryota, Metazoa, Arthropoda, Malacostraca, Decapoda, Palaemonidae. The record is from RefSeq and is a predicted model, not a curated record.
CAUCUCCCACAACCUAGGUAACAGCUUUGAGACUCACUAAAAGUUGAACCCCCUGAAUGAUGUAGGCUAUGGGGCCACAUAAGACUUUGUCCAUCCAGGGUUACAUUGAACAAGAACUUUAAACUAAAAAACCAACAUUUUUCACACAACUCCAGGUUGUUACUACAAGUGUCAUCAAGGGAUAACUACAAGUAGAAGCAC